CCCUUAGAUGUUCUGGGCUGCACGCGUGCUACAAUGGCGCUUGCAACAAGUCUUGCCAACCCGAUAGGGUGAGCGGAUCUUUGAAGAGGCGUCGUGAUCGGGACAGUUGAUUGCAAUUAUUCGACUCGAACGAGGAAUUCCUUGUAAUCGCGAUUCAUCAUAUCGCGCUGAACACGUCCCUGCCCUUUGUACACACCGCCCGUCGCUCCUACCGAUUGAGCGAUCCGGUGAAUGUUUUGGACUGGCGUCAGAAGCGGUUCGCUCCUGACACUACGAAAUUUUGUAAACCUUAUCGCUUAGAGGAAGGAAAAGUCGUAACA
Molecule: ribosomal RNA, 320 nt
Filed under: uncultured eukaryote
Lineage: Eukaryota
Description: partial 18S ribosomal RNA
Rfam family: Eukaryotic small subunit ribosomal RNA
Source: RNAcentral